Molecule: long non-coding RNA, 420 nt
Organism: Numida meleagris (helmeted guineafowl)
Lineage: Eukaryota; Metazoa; Chordata; Aves; Galliformes; Numididae
Exons: 3
Source: RefSeq, a predicted model, not a curated record
GCAGAGCAAAAGAAGAGUGUGAAUAAAUCCUGUUGCUGAACUUACUUACAUAACAUAUGACUACACAGACCAUGGGGAGAACAGACAGGCCAGGAAGCACAGUCUAGUCUGGAGCAAUGCCCACUGCAGCUUUGUCGGAUGCAGGAAUCAGAGCAGUUGCCAAAAUCAGGACAGAUUUCUGGGAGGUAGAAGUUCUCCAGGCUCCAGGGAGCUGUAAAUGUGAUGAGGCUGAUGAUACCAACACUACUGACAUAGAAAUGGAAUGUGAAGCUCUUCAGAGCGCUCCUGAUUUAUAGGUUUCUGUUUGAUUCUAAAAAACCUCAAACUCUCUUCCAGAAGAACAUUUCCUGUUGGAAGAAAAAUUUAUCAGCAGUAAAGAAAACAAAGAGGAAAAGGACCAGAAGGUGAAGCUUACCCUUU